RNAcentral lists this long non-coding RNA (359 nucleotides) under Hordeum vulgare. RNAcentral describes it as "long non-coding RNA (HVUL_LNC016678)". Lineage: Eukaryota; Viridiplantae; Streptophyta; Magnoliopsida; Poales; Poaceae. The record is from RNAcentral.
AGAUCUAUCUAUGGAAAUGUAUAGCUACGAGAGGGGAGUGCAUCUACAUACCCUUGUAGAUCGCUAAGAGGAAGCGUUAAUAAACGCGGUUGAUGUAGUCGAACGUCUUCGCGCUCCAAUCACGAUCAUCCCGAUCCAACGCCGAACGGAUGACACCUCCUGAUUCAGCACACAUAGGGCACGACGACGUCUCCACCUCCUCGAUCCAGCGAGUGUAGGUGGAGUAGUAGAUGAGUUCUCCUGCAGCAUGACGAUGUGGUGACGAUGGUGGUGGUGCAAUCAUAGCACGGCUUCGCCAAGCGCUGCCCGAAGCGAUGGAGGAGAAAACGAUCUAGAGGGAGAGAGGGAGGGCACCGCCA